CAUUAAAAAGUUGAAACAACCGUUGCAAGUUAAAGCACAGAGAAUAAGACAAUAUAAAAAGAGACAAAGGUUCUUCUUGAGAAAGAAGAAGAAAACACCCAAAAAAAUUCUACCGAGAACUGGUACCACUUACCUUCUCCCCAGAAAUGAGGAAACCAACAACCCCAAAAACUACCGGCCUAUCACAUGCCUUCCUACAAUGUACAAAGUCCUAACAUCCUUAAUAACCGCUAGAACCUUCAAGCACCUGGCAGACAACAACCUACUACCAAUGGAACAAAAAGACUGUAGAAAAGGGAGCUACGGAUCCAAAGACCAGCUGCUCAUAAAUAAGGCUAUAAUAGAAGAGGAGAAAAGCUAAGAAAAAGAACCUUACAACAGCUUGGGUUGACUAUAAAAAGGUGUUUGACUUUAUCCCCCAUAGAUGAAUAAUAAAGUGCCUAGAAAUGUACAACACCUCGCCUAUCUUGACAACCUUUAUCAAAACAAACAUGACACAAUGGAAAACAACCCUCAAAAUCAACCACAACGAGGGAACUUUAAUAUCCAGACAGAUCAAUGUCAACAACAGAAUUUUCCAAGGAGACCCUCUCUCACCUCUUCUGCAUUGCUCUUGCUCCACUGUCCUCUCUUCUGAAUAACAGUGCCUAUGGUUACAAGACAGGCAACAUUGUCAUCAACCACUUACUUGCCAUUGCAAAGGCUUUAAUGAUGACAAUAGAAUGGAGUUCAGCCUUGACAAGUGUGCUAAAGCUACUUUCAAAAGAGGCUAACUAACCAACGCUAAAAAUAUCGCGAUUGCUCCAGAUAACACCAUCCAAGAUAUAGAAAAAGAAGGCACAUACAAAUACCAUGGUGUGAAUGAAAGAGAUGUGAUACAACACUCACACACUCCGAAAGUCCGAAAAGAGUACUACAGACGAAUACGACUGUGGCUUAAAUCAGAACUGAAUGCCAUCAACAGAAUAGAUGCAAUCGACACCCUCACAGUCCCAGUCGUCACCUACAGUUGCAACAUCAUCAAGUGGAAACUGGAAGAACUAUAGAAGCUAGACCAUAAAACACGAAAACUACUGACAGCUGAAAAUAUGCACCACCCUAAAGCAGAUGUGGAUAGGCUUUAUACAUACCAAGAACAUCAGGCGGUAGGGGCUUUAUCCUAAUUUAGAUGGUAUACAAGACAACGACCAUCGGUCUUGACACGUAUUUGAACACCAAACAGGACUGUCUACUUAUGAUUGCUAGAAACCAUGAAAGAACGAAGAAAACAUUAUCAGUACAUCAUGAAGCUGACAAAUACAAAAGAGAACUCAAUACACCAGAAAUUGAAAUCAUGGAAAGUGAGCCAGCCACCAACUAUGCCCGAAGAAAAAAAAGUUAAGGAAAAGCCAAACAGUAAAUGGGAAGAAAAACCUCUACCCAAAAUGAGUCAAAGUCAAAGAUGUGGAUCCAGCUCAAACCAACCAAUGGUUAAGAACAGCAGGACUAAAAUCUGAAACUAAAGGGUUUAUUAUUGCUGCUCAAGACCAGUGCAUUAAGACCAACUAUUAUCGGAAUAAGAUUCUGAAAGAUGGUACUUGCCCAAUGUGCAGGAUAUGCAACAACCACCAAGAGACAAUAAAUAAAAUAAAUCUAAUCUUGGGCUGCCCAAUACUGGCCAAAACAGAAUGUAUACAACGGCACAACAAAACAGCAACAUACCUCCAUUGGGCAAUCUGUAAGCACUACAACAUCAAAGUAAAGGACAAAUACUAUGAGCAUGAGCCAUCAACUGUAAUAGGCAAUGAUGAAGCUACUAUAAUCAGGGACAUGCCAAUUCAAACUGAUAAAGAAACCAAGGCCAACAGACCCAAAAGAGUAGUAAAGGACAAGGAGAGAACUUGUCUGCUCAUCAACACGUCUGUCCCCACUGAAACAAACACCUCCCUGAAGGCCACAGAAAACUCUCCAAAUAUAAAGAUCUGGAGAAAGAAAUUGAAAGAAUACGGGAGAUGAAAAUACCAACAAGGUGCUCUUGGUCUAGUAAAGAAAGGGAUGGAAAGUACACCAACAAAUCCCUGGCAUCUCAAAGAUACAAGAAAUCCAGAAGAUUGUCCUCCUCAGCACUGCUCACAUUUUAAGGAGGGCAUUAUCCAUCAAAUAAAUCCAUCAUACCCUCAUUGCCAGGGUGUUAUUGUCAGGAGUGGCUCUGCCUUCUACCCAGCUUCUCGUUUCUUGUGUUUUCCCCUCCCUGCUGUCUUUGUCUGUCUCUUUCAGUCUGCAUAUGUUGUGGGUUUUUUCUCCUGGCUCCCUCUCUCUGGCUCACCACCUGCAGCUCCACUCACCUGAGGCUCAUCAACAAUCAACCCACUCUGUUAAAACCCUGGCUCUUCAGUCACUCUCUGCCAGUUUGUCAUUUAACCUGUGUGUGAGACCUCAGUUUGGAGACAGUGCCUGCCAGCCUGGAGAGAGCCCUGUCUUUGCUACUACAAUCCCAAAUAAGCCAGAGACUCUAGCUCCACCCAGCCUGCUCGCUUCACCACCUCAGUCCUGCUACCUGUGUUUUGAAUAAACCUGUAUUAACAUUCA
Molecule: long non-coding RNA, 2568 nt
Organism: Micropterus dolomieu (smallmouth bass)
Lineage: Eukaryota; Metazoa; Chordata; Actinopteri; Centrarchiformes; Centrarchidae
Exons: 2
Source: RefSeq, a predicted model, not a curated record